GAUGAAGAACGUAGCGAAAUGCGAUAAGUAGUGUGAAUUGCAGAAUUCAGUGAAUCAUCGAAUCUUUGAACGCACAUUGCGCCCCUUGGUAUUCCAUGGGGCAUGCCUGUUCGAGCGUCAUUUGUACCUUCAAGCUUUGCUUGGUGUUGGGUGUUUGUCUCGCCUUUGCGUGUAGACUCCCCUUAAAAUAAUUGGCAGCCGGCGUAUUGAUUUCGGAGCGCAGUACAUCUCGCGCUUUGCACUCAUAACGACAGCGUCCAAAAGUACAUUUUACACUCUUGACCUCGGAUCAGGUAGGGAUACCCGCUGAACUUAAGCAUAUCAAUAAGCGGAGGA
Molecule: unclassified non-coding RNA, 336 nt
Filed under: soil metagenome
Description: partial contains 5.8S ribosomal RNA, internal transcribed spacer 2, and large subunit ribosomal RNA
Rfam family: 5.8S ribosomal RNA (bases 1-120)
Source: RNAcentral